UGCAGAGUAGAUAAUAUGAGCAAGGCUCAUUCUCCCGAGCUGAAAAAUUUAUGGACAAGAAGUUAUCAUUGAAAUUAAAUGGUGGCAGACAUGUCCAAGGAAUAUUGCGAGGAUUUGAUCCCUUCAUGAAUCUUGUAAUAGAUGAAUGUGUGGAGAUGGCAACUAGUGGACAACAGAACAAUAUUGGAAUGGUGGCAAUACGAGGAAACAGUAUCAUCACGUUAGAAGCCUUAGAACUAGUAUAAAUAAAGGCUGUUCAGAGAAAUCCGUGUCCUCCCUCCAGAAGCCCUGUUUAAUUAUGACUUGAAAAUUGGGUCAUGUACAUUUUCAUAUUAAACUUUUUGUUAAAUAAACUUC
Non-coding RNA from Ictidomys tridecemlineatus (thirteen-lined ground squirrel), 357 nucleotides. The record is from RefSeq and is a predicted model, not a curated record. NCBI's taxonomy places the organism in Eukaryota, Metazoa, Chordata, Mammalia, Rodentia, Sciuridae.